Podarcis raffonei (Aeolian wall lizard) is the source of this 1808-nucleotide long non-coding RNA. RefSeq lists it as uncharacterized. Lineage: Eukaryota; Metazoa; Chordata; Lepidosauria; Squamata; Lacertidae. The transcript has 2 exons. The record is from RefSeq and is a predicted model, not a curated record.
AAAUGAACUGGAAAAGGUGUGAAUCUAAGAACAGUGACCUAGAUUUGAUGCAGGUAAAGUGGAACUGUCAAUGAUCAUGACAAAAAGGCAUGACAGAACAUUCAAUCUGCAUUGAGGGCAAAUAGCUGUAAUACAGAAACAGCUGUGGAUGAAGAUUUGUCCGCAACCUGUAGCAGAAGGCACAGUCAUUAAUGACUGUAAGAAGACAUCUCUGACAAUGCAUUCACAGCUGUGCUCAUGCCAGCUGCUGAAAGAACAACACUCAAUACUGAAUGUACAGGGUAUUUUUGUAUUACUAACAGAGAACCUGAACAUCCAGGCAGCAUGUAUAAGAUAGAUAAAAUUAUGGUAGUAAGUAUGCUUAUGAAGAUGUGCUGAUAAAUAGGCAUCAGGGUGCCUCAGCUAGUUGCAAAGUCACAGGAAUUAUGUCAACCAUACUAAAAUUAAAUUUGCAUUCAAAAAAAUGCAGAUAAUUUUUCAUUGUGCAAUAUAAUAACCAAGAAGCAACACAAAAACAAAACAAGUUUCCAUGAUUCUAUAUGUGCAUUCUGAUGCUGAGCCCUGAGAGUCUUAGGAAUGCUUCAAAUGUUAGAAAAAUCUUGUCAUCUACAAAAGGCUUCACUGUUCACAGUCUGUGCAGUACAAAUAUAUCCUGCUCUUUUCAUCACCUUGGUUUCCCCAUCCAGAACAAUCUACUGCCCUUCUAUUACCCACACUUUUCCUUUCAAAAGAUGGGUUGGAGACAAUUCAGUUUGUAAAUCCACUUUAAACUAUGGGUCAAAUGAUGCUUGGAGGUUAGUACUAAUUUGCCUAAUUUUGAUGGCAAACUGUGGUUAGAGGAAGCUCUAAAACAGAAAAGGGAAUCAUAACUCUUUUGGGGUGGUGUGGUGAAGGAUUGGAAUGUGAUUUCUGAACCAUGAACCUGGCCACUUCAUUAUUGAGGAGUCCACAUGUAUAAAUGUUCACAGAAUUAUACAAAAUAAAUAUUUUCCGUAAGUUUUUCUGGUUUCCAUAAUAUUUUACAACAUCAAUUUCUACUUUACAGUAUGAAAACAGCUUUGCCUAUGGGAUGAAUAGCUUCUGCAUUAAGGACAGCUGCUUGUAACUGGAUUAUGACUUCACAGCUGUAAUGUACAGGAAAAAGGAAAUCUUUACUGAAGCUCAAGAGUGACAUAGCAACUUCUGAGGAACAUGUAAGACUUGUCCACUAAACUAAAACUUGUACAGGCUUAAAAUUUCAAAGAUGAUGAUGAAGUCUUCAAAUGAUACCUUUAUAGGUCAAAGUCAUAAGAAAUCAAAACUCAAGGCAGAUGUUCAAGCAGAAACAGCUAUUAUGAAAUACAGUAGAUAUUCAGGCACAGUUUUGAGUUGCAUAAGUGUAAGGACCAAAACUAGACAUGACAUUUAGUGAUGUGCAUCUUUCUCUAUUUGUCUUAAAAAUAAGAUAAAAUUCAGCACUAGGAGGUUGAGAAUUGAAAGCAGAGAGGAAGGGGCGGCUUGUCAUUCCCCUGUCUGGCUCAGCCUUUCCUACAAGUUGAAAGAACAGCUGGAAGGGAGUGAUUUUUUGGGUGGGAAAGCAGCCAGCAGAGAAGGUUUACAUAGGGCUGUUCCCUGCUAUUCUGCUGGUUAAACUUGUAGCCACCCAAGGCUGUUUAUAGCUUAAAAACUAAAUGCUUAAGGAACAAAUACAAUUGCAAAUUAUGUCAAUUCUGGUGAUGAGUACAGAUGGCUUUCAGACUUGGGUAUACUAUAAAAACACAGAAGUUGAAGAGAAAGGAAGGGAAACAAUAAAGGCAACAUGGCACAUG